RNAcentral lists this transfer RNA (71 nucleotides) under Cylix sp. z GS-2022. RNAcentral describes it as "tRNA-Ser". It matches the Rfam family "tRNA". Rfam says of the family: Transfer RNA (tRNA) molecules are approximately 80 nucleotides in length. Their secondary structure includes four short double-helical elements and three loops (D, anti-codon, and T loops). The record is from RNAcentral. Lineage: Eukaryota; Metazoa; Chordata; Actinopteri; Syngnathiformes; Syngnathidae.
AAGAAAGUGGCAGAUUGGUUAUGCUAGUGGCUUGAAACCAUUUUACGGGGGUUCGAUUCCCUCCUUUCUCG